UAGGAUCAUCAUGAGGAUGGUGAUAGAAUCAGAUAGAAUGAUGCACAAAUUACUUCCUUCAAGAUAGACGGGUCUCUGGUCUACUAUGUAGAGACACAGGACGACGAGUGUGGAUAGUUGUUAGAGAAUAACUAGUACUGAGCAUGAUCAUAUGAAAAAUCACUUGGAUUUCUAUUCGAUCGUUAGUGAUUGUCUCAAUGCUGUAGUUGUAUGACUGAUCCUUUGACUUGAGAUAGUACUACUACUCACAGUGACUUGAUAGAGAGG
RNAcentral lists this long non-coding RNA (267 nucleotides) under Elaeis guineensis (African oil palm). RNAcentral describes it as "long non-coding RNA (EGUI_LNC063632)". The record is from RNAcentral. Lineage: Eukaryota; Viridiplantae; Streptophyta; Magnoliopsida; Arecales; Arecaceae.